AAUAGCCAAGAGUGUUACCUCUGACAUAAGAGUGAACUCUUAUGUAGCUCAAAGCUAUCCUAGAUGGAUGAAAGAUUUCUUCAUUAAGGAGAAAUGUAUUGUCGAUAGUAUUAGGUCCUAAGUUUUUUUUAGUUUUAAGUUAGGAGUUGUAAUUAUAGAGUGUAUUUUAUUAGGUUCUAGGUCCUUCUUUUUAUUUAUUCCAGUAAUUUUCUAGUUAGAUAGAUUUUUAAAGAGAUUACUUCGCAAUGAUAGAAAAAAAACAAAAAGAUUUAGUCCUUCUAGACUUAAGCGGUGGAUUAAUGUUUAUAGUCUUUUCUGGGGUUUGAAUCUUUGACUUUAGCUUUCUUACAAUUAAGGUUUCUCCUUCUCGUAAUUGAUCCUAGAGUAUAUAAAUUAGGAAGUCUGCUUUCUCUUAGUCCUGUAUCUUUAAGCUUUCAUAAUUAGGAAAAAAAAAAAAAAAAAGAGAGAAGGGGUAGCGAUGAGUGAUGAAUUGUGGAACGCCAUACAACAUAUGGAUUUAGGUCGUGAGGAGCCUGAACUUUAUAUCCCAUAUCAUGCUUAUGUUGGAGCGUUGGCUUCUAACAGAUUAAGUCUCCUUGGAAGAAUUCUAAAUCCUCAAACUCAAAGCGUUGAAAGAGCUAUCUUGGAGCUACCUUAUCAGUGGGGACUUGGAACUCAGGUACAUGGACGCAUCCUUGACGACAGAUGUUUUCAAGUUCGUUUUCGCUCGGAGAUAGAUCUACUUAAUGGGCUAAGAAGAGCGCCUUGGGUUUUUAAUGAAUGGUUUAUUGCACUUCAGAGAUGGGAAGACUUUCCUACAGAGGAUUUCCUUACCUUUAUAGAUGUUUGGGUUCAUAUUAGAGGAAUUCCUUUACCAUAUGUGUCAGAAAGGACAGUUGAGAUCAUUGCUAGUACUUUAGGAGAGGUUGUGGCUAUGGAUUUCAAUGAAGAAACUACAUCGCAGAUAACCUUUAUUCGUGUUAAGGUUAGAAUGGAUUUCACUGAGCCACUACGUUUCUUUCGAAGAGUACGGUUUGCAUCUAGAGAAAGAGCCAUGAUUGGCUUUGAGUAUGAGAAGCUUCAGCGAGUUUGCACCAACUGCUGUCGAGUGAAUCAUCAAGUCAGUCAUUGCCCGUAUGUUGUGCAUCAGGAGGAGAUGGAUAAUGAACCAGAUGUUUUGGUCUCUCCAGAGAGGUAUGAUGAUGAAGACAGUCUCAAUCAAGAAGAUCACGGGAGACACUCACAAAGUUCUGUUAUCUCAUCGUUUUCAUCCUUAACUCCAAUAUCACUGAAUGCGCCUCCUGUUGUAAACUGGAAUGAUAACAUGAUAGGCAACAUACCUCAUAGAUUCCCAUCAACUUCAGUCUCAUCUUCUCACACUGUUUCAGAUGGUUACCUUGCAGCUUCGGAAUGGAGACCUAAAGAUCAAGUUAGCUAUGAGGUUGGUGAGAGUUCAAAGAGAAAGAAAGGGAAGCAAGUAUUAGAAGUGCCUGAACGCAGCAUCCGACAGAGACGAAUGGGAUCCGGGAUAAGGUUUUACCCGGUGAAUGGUGAAAAUCCUUAAACUCUAACAUGAAGGUUAAUAAGAGAGUAGUAUCGAGUUUCUACUCUAAGGACACUUCUUUUGAGAAUCAAGUUUCAGUUUGGUACCUUAGGUAAUAAUGAUCCACUUUGAACAAUAGGGUGGAGUGUGACAUAAUUUUUUGAAGAACACUGAUAGUAAGAAGCUGACAAAGGAAGAUGUGGACAACAUCUUUUGAUCUUCCUUGAUUACUUUUUGGAUCUUGUAGUACUAAUAAUCUACUGGAAGAAAGGCUGGGUUUUGAAGAUUCUGGAAUCAAGAAAUGAAGAUGAACUGCGGACAAAUCAGUUUAUGUCUGAAGACUAAGACACAUCCUUAAUUUCAUUAGUUAUUAGUAGGUACAACUGAUGUAAUAUGAAGUUUUUAAGGUUGCAGUUUGUUUGUACU
RNAcentral lists this small RNA (1969 nucleotides) under Arabidopsis thaliana (thale cress). Its description in RNAcentral is "ATSL279760". Lineage: Eukaryota; Viridiplantae; Streptophyta; Magnoliopsida; Brassicales; Brassicaceae. The record is from RNAcentral.